AAAUCAACAGAUUAUAUUUUUGAAGGACCUCAGAUUCUAAGAAAUCCUGCUCUUCUGGAAGUCUAGUAGAAACCUUUCAUUAAGAAAGUAUAAAAUCUACAUCUCUUUUUCUAAGAGUUCUAGGUAUGUUAAACUUCUCCAGUGCGUGAAGGGAAUCAGGUUUGUAAACACUGCUUUUAAAAUAGGAGUUGCUGUCCAUGGUAGUGAUACAUCUGGGUAAUCUGACAACCGAAAUGACAUAAAGAACUGUAUCCUCACUGACGUUGUUUGAGCCAGGCUGUAGAAUGGCAGCAGGACUAAAAAGAUGGGUCAGGAAGCUGCCUGUGAUACACUUGGGAAACCAGGGUAGUUCUGCUUUCCAUCCACCAAUUCCAUCCUGGGCUGUGUUUGUUUGUGUAUGUUUUCCUCUCCAGAAGAGAGGGUGAGGAAGCAUCAGGGUUGUUCACAGUCCUUUGGACAAGGCCUGCACAUGCAUCUGGAGAAUGGGUUUGCAGGUUGCACAGCCACUCUUUCUACUCUUAGUUAAGACAACAGCAAUUGCUUAGUUUCUACUUUGGGACCCACUCCAUUUCCUCUUAGUAGAAAGGCCCUUUAUUCAUUGUAGUGAACUGUAUUUGUAAGCCUUAAAUGUUUACGUGUUUUGUCAUAAAAUUAAUGAGCAUCCACCCCCUUAAAAAUCUCAUUAAAGUUCGUCUUUGGCAGGUUGCCUCCUAAAGACUCGACAGCACUUUGGUGGCUGAUCUGAUCGGAGUGUCGUCUUAUUCCCUCCUCCUUUCCCAUCUGUUUGUAUCCACCUCUUGUGUUACGAAAAUAAACUGUUUUGGGGUAGGAACUGUUUUUCUUUUUUCCCUUGUAGCUUGGUGCAAUGCUGUCCUGGUGCACAACUUCUCUGCAGUGAAUUAACCUGUGCUGGUUUCUGCUACGCUAUCGCCACUACCCAAACAAACUACUUGUAUGGGAUAUGCACACUCCUGAUUCUUAAAAGCAACUGGAACGUCUUGACUGUGACCCUGAAAUCCUGUAUUCCAGAAGGUGCCACUCCAACAACCUGCUUAUCUGAUGUGAAUACACUGAAACAGAGGCUGCUUUAGCAGUGCGUGUUCCAUUAACAGUGAAAUUGAGCCAUUUUCUUAAAGCUUUGUUUUGUCCUUUAGCUUUCUCCAUUUCGUAUCUUAAAUAAGCAUAGUUCCUGGCAAUGCUCGGUGCUGCUGCUUGCAGGGAAGUGCAGAGCCUCGUGGCUUUCUGCUGGCUGCCAGGCAGCC
This 1262-nucleotide long non-coding RNA is filed under the name Anser cygnoides (Swan goose). RNAcentral's name for it is "lncRNA (ENSACDG00005016602.1)". The record is from RNAcentral. Lineage: Eukaryota; Metazoa; Chordata; Aves; Anseriformes; Anatidae.